CAAUUUCCUCUUCUCAAAAUUCAAACCUCCACUCCAACAACAAUGGUCACUCAUGCAAUUUUAGGGAUUUAGUCUUGUUUUCUUUGCUAAUUUCAAUUUCUCUCCCAAUCAGAAAUUUCUCAAUCUCUCUCUUUCUCUCAAAUUUGCGGAAAAGGGGUUCCACAGCCUUUUGAGAAGAGAUCUUCAAUGUCUAUGCAAGAGGAACAAAAACCCAGCCUAUACGACCAACGUUGCUAUGGCAGAUGUUCUCAAAUCUCUUGAAAGUUGUCUGGAAGAUUAACUCGGACGAAAGCCUUACCUUGAGAUUUAGCUUCAGAGUCCUUGACAAAAGUUAUAGGAAAUUCAAUUAGCUUUCCAACGACGGUAAUUUCAGGGCAAUCAGAGCAGUACUUCAAGAUUUAUGACCGAUUUAGUGCACACAUAUCAAUAUGACGCGUCUAAAAAGUUUAUCCGGAAACUUCAAGAUUUCAGACAAGAAGUUGUAGCGACUUAGUGCAGCGGGAUCAGUACAUCAAUAGACUUUUUCAUGAUAAAAUUAUGGGCAGCAUUACUGAUCGAAGAUUUUAAUAACUGGAAUGUGAAAACUGAUGUAAUGGCUCGGGUAUGCUCUUACACUCUAAUGUGAUCUAUUUUUAAAUUUUCUGUUUUAUGCUAAGUAGAAAUUUCAGAACUUUGUGUAAUGAUCUAUCGUGAUGAAGUAUAAUUUGGUGUUAAAAGACUAUAGGCAUCAUGUUUGUUUUGUAUGAAAUGUGUAAUAGGCAAUCUUUUGGGUUGUGAUGUAAUUUUUUUUUGUAAGAAGAG
Molecule: small RNA, 801 nt
Filed under: Arabidopsis thaliana (thale cress)
Lineage: Eukaryota; Viridiplantae; Streptophyta; Magnoliopsida; Brassicales; Brassicaceae
Description: putative long intergenic non-coding RNA
Source: RNAcentral